CAUGCUAGACGUAGUUUGAUCCUGGCUCAGAACGAACGCUGGCGGCAGGCUUAACACAUGCAAGUCGAACGCCCCGCAAGGGGAGUGGCAGACGGGUGAGUAACGCGUGGGAAUCUACCCAACUCUACGGAAUAACUCAGGGAAACUUGUGCUAAUACCGUAUACGCCCUUCGGGGGAAAGAUUUAUCGGAGUUGGAUGAGCCCGCGUUGGAUUAGCUAGUUGGUGGGGUAAAGGCCUACCAAGGCGACGAUCCAUAGCUGGUCUGAGAGGAUGAUCAGCCACACUGGGACUGAGACACGGCCCAGACUCCUACGGGAGGCAGCAGUGGGGAAUAUUGGACAAUGGGCGCAAGCCUGAUCCAGCCAUGCCGCGUGAGUGAUGAAGGCCCUAGGGUUGUAAAGCUCUUUCACCGGUGAAGAUAAUGACGGUAACCGGAGAAGAAGCCCCGGCUAACUUCGUG
Molecule: ribosomal RNA, 461 nt
Filed under: uncultured bacterium
Lineage: Bacteria
Description: bacterial SSU rRNA
Rfam family: Bacterial small subunit ribosomal RNA
Source: RNAcentral